Molecule: ribosomal RNA, 496 nt
Filed under: uncultured bacterium
Lineage: Bacteria
Description: partial 16S ribosomal RNA
Rfam family: Bacterial small subunit ribosomal RNA
Source: RNAcentral
AUGCACGCUGGCGGCGUGCCUAAUACAUGCAAGUCGAGCGAACAGACGAGGAGCUUGCUCCUCUGACGUUAGCGGCGGACGGGUGAGUAACACGUGGAUAACCUACCUAUAAGACUGGGAUAACUUCGGGAAACCGGAGCUAAUACCGGAUAAUAUAUUGAACCGCAUGGUUCAAUAGUGAAAGACGGUUUUGCUGUCACUUAUAGAUGGAUCCGCGCCGCAUUAGCUAGUUGGUAAGGUAACGGCUUACCAAGGCAACGAUGCGUAGCCUACCUGAGAGGGUGAUCGGCCACACUGGAACUGAGACACGGUCCAGACUCCUACGGGAGGCAGCAGUAGGGAAUCUUCCGCAAUGGGCGAAAGCCUGACGGAGCAACGCCGCGUGAGUGAUGAAGGUCUUCGGAUCGUAAAACUCUGUUAUUAGGGAAGAACAAAUGUGUAAGUAACUAUGCACGUCUUGACGGUACCUAAUCAGAAAGCCACGGCUAACUACGUG